UUCCCAGACUCCUACGGGAGGCAGCAGUGGGGGAUGUUGCACAAUGGGGGGAACCCUGAUGCAGCGACGCCGCGUGGGUGAAGGAGCGUUUCGGCGCGUAAAGCCCUAUCGGCAGGGAAGAAGAUGACGGUACCUGACCAAGAAGCCCCGGCUAACUACGUGCCAGCAGCCGCGGUAAUACGUAGGGGGCAAGCGUUAUCCGGAUUUACUGGGUGUAAAGGGAGCGUAGACGGCGAUGCAAGCCAGAUGUGAAAGCCCGGGGCUCAACCCCGGGACUGCAUUUGGAACUGUGUGGCUGGAGUGUCGGAGAGGCAGGCGGAAUUCCUAGUGUAGCGGUGAAAUGCGUAGAUAUUAGGAGGAACACCAGUGGCAAAGGCGGCCUGCUGGACGAUGACUGACGUUGAGGCUCGAAAGCGUGGGGAGCAAACAGGAUUAGAUACCCGAGUAUG
This 449-nucleotide ribosomal RNA is filed under the name uncultured bacterium. RNAcentral describes it as "bacterial SSU rRNA". It matches the Rfam family "Bacterial small subunit ribosomal RNA", at positions 328 to 793 of the family's 1533-position model. The record is from RNAcentral.